AUUGAACGCUGGCGGCAGGCCUAACACAUGCAAGUCGAGCGGAUGACGGGAGCUUGCUCCUUGAUUCAGCGGCGGACGGGUGAGUAAUGCCUAGGAAUCUGCCUGGUAGUGGGGGACAACGUUUCGAAAGGAACGCUAAUACCGCAUACGUCCUACGGGAGAAAGCAGGGGACCUUCGGGCCUUGCGCUAUCAGAUGAGCCUAGGUCGGAUUAGCUAGUUGGUGGGGUAAUGGCUCACCAAGGCGACGAUCCGUAACUGGUCUGAGAGGAUGGUCAGUCACACUGGAACUGAGACACGGUCCAGACUCCUACGGGAGGCAGCAGUGGGGAAUAUUGGACAAUGGGCGAAAGCGUGAUCCAGCCAUGCCGCGUGUGUGAAGAAGGUCUUCGGAUUGUAAAGCACUUUAAGUUGGGAGGAAGGGCAGUAAGUUAAUACCUUGCUGUUUUGACGUUACCGACAGAAUAAGCACCGGCUAACUCUGUGCCAGCCGCCACGGUAA
This 500-nucleotide ribosomal RNA is filed under the name uncultured bacterium. RNAcentral describes it as "partial 16S ribosomal RNA". It matches the Rfam family "Bacterial small subunit ribosomal RNA", at positions 30 to 523 of the family's 1533-position model. The record is from RNAcentral.